Molecule: long non-coding RNA, 4712 nt
Organism: Oncorhynchus kisutch (coho salmon)
Lineage: Eukaryota; Metazoa; Chordata; Actinopteri; Salmoniformes; Salmonidae
Source: Ensembl
UUAGAAACGAGCCUAUGAACAACAGUGAGACUGACAAACGCAGGCAACAGCACUGGACAGCCAUGCAGGCGAAGGUAACACAACACACAGUUUCAGCUGUUAUAUACUGAAUCCUCUGUCCCUCUCAUUUCUCCCCUUUCCUAACUAGUUAAAAUGGAGCCAAACACACACACAGAGUUUCUGCUGUUACAUCCUGUGAACUCUUCCCCUCUAAUCUCUCUGCUUUCCUCCCCGAUUAAGACAGGGCCUUUAAACAACAGUGAGACGGACUACCCCAGAAGGCAGCACUUGACAGCCAUUGCCAGUGAAGGAAUCAUAUUUUAUGCAGUGCUGGUGAAAUGGACAAUCAGACAUGUCAGCUGUUGUUUCAUUGGAUGUCUUGUGGAAUCUGUCCAUUCUUUUGAAAUAAUGUGGAUUGUCCUGCAUGUCCAGGCCUGCUCUGAAAUUAAAUAGGUAUGAUAUCAGGCUCCUAUUGCACAGCAAUACUGUAGCCUACCCAUACUGUAAAAUAUUUGUUAUAUUUACAGGUCUAUUUUACUUUCGAGCAUGGUUGGCUAUUGAAUGAGCGAUGUUAAGACAGUACACAUAUUUUCCCAGGUUUUUAAGUCCGACCCCCCCCCCCCCCCCAUUAAAUCAAGUUAAGGAGGAAACCAAUGUCUUUGCCGCCUGAAUGGAGGAUGUUUUAUGUACGAACCGGACGCGGGGGUUAGGAGUGUAUUGCACAAGGCCAGACGAUGUAAACCUUGGCAGAACCAUUGGGGCUAGUAGACAGCUGUACAAAACACAAGUUACACACAUAUUUUAAAACACAGACACAUUUUAUGAUUAAAAACCAGACUGGAUUUGGUUAAAAAUGUUACAUAUAAAGAAACUGCAUUGGUAGACAAAAUAUUAAAUAAAUAAAAGCAAAAAGGACAUCGGACAAAAAGUUGUUUCGUUCUCCACAGUCUCCAUUGACAAUAAUCACAUUUGACAUUAAUACUGUUGAUAAAUUAAUACAGUUAAAAUAACUGUUAAUAGUUGACAUUUUCAGUACGUCUAAAUGUGUAUGUGUGUAUGUUUAUAAAUGCAUGCAGGUGUUACAGAUUAACCAUGGCAGAAUGAGCCAGGAUUCAAAUGAUCCUUUUCAUUUUGCAUGUGGAGUUUUAGUUUGAGUUGAUACUAAAUCCAAGGUUGGGGUAUGCAGUUUUGUUCAGUUUUCAUUUGACAAAGAGUGUAUGUUAAUUUGAGGUUAACUUUAAGCUAGUUCUUUUUUCAUUUUUUUUUUAGUUAGGCCUACUGUUAAAUUGACAUGACAGGAUACAAAAACAACAUAAAAACAAAGCAUGAUUAGAGAAUACUUCUAGUUGCAGACCCACUGUUCCACACAAAAAAUCUACACCUAACACAGAGCCAUGCCUUCCCUCUGCUCUCCAACCAUGCACCAAAUACACUUGCACUAACACAGAGGUCAGACAAAUUCCAGCACAUAACAAUCUCUAGUACAAUGCAUGCUCUCAUGUUUUUACGUGCCAGAAUGAGAGUAUUUUUUUGCAGAUUUGUUAAAAUUGCACAAAUAUCUGAAAAGUACAGUGAUGGGGGAACACUUUAUUUUUUUGCAAUGAUCGUUUUUAUCCGAAUAAAAAGUUCCCUUUCAAAAUCGGAUGAAUCAAUCUGCAAGUAUAAACAAAACAAAUAAAUGUCAAAAGGAGACAUUCAAAAGAAGUGCUUCAAAAGUGAAUGCAAACAAUACAGUAAAACAACUGUCAGUAUAGUUAUCAUGGCAUCAAAAUAAACAGCAUAAAUUGCCUUAAACAUGCAAUUCAAGAGAGAAAGCCAAAUAAACGUGGCUUAUGCAGUCGCUGUUUUUCCAAAAGAAUAGAGCACUGCUGGUUUUUACUAAGAUAUACUGGGGCACUGCUUUGAUUACAACUACGGUCUCCUUUUCACUGCCUCGGUUGUGGGAUAAACUUACAAAGCCAACCAGACCUACAGUCUACACACAUUUCAGGAAAGAAAACCGGAAGAAUGCAGCGACAAACACAGGCAAAGGUUCAGGAGCUACAGGGGUCAAUACGGGAGGCUUGGCUAAAAAGUAUUGGCAUUAAAAGAAAAGGAGUUAAGUUUGAUAAUCUGCACGGGGGGGGGGGGGGGGACAACUGUGCACAACACAGGUCAAAGGCACAACACUGGACACGACAAAGGGAAAUAGAACAACCUCUGGGAGCUUUGAAAAAGGCCCAGAGAGGAGAAGGUGUCUAUCUAUCAGACAGUCAGGCAUUCUUCUAGCAGCACAGUCUGUGCACUACUGCACUUUUGUCCCAGUUUCGUAUUAGAAUUGCACAACAUCCACUCCAAGAGGAGAAAUAAAAGUCACAGCAACAUUGUCACAGCUCUAGAGUCUGAUAAAACAGUCAUGGAGCAUGACAACAGCACAGGUAAUUAUUUGUGUGUUUUUAAGCCGAACGCUUUCUUAAAUCAUGCUGAUAUAACAUAAUUGCACCAAAUAUUCAUUAUACACAGGAAAAGGUGUAUGGAUUUUGUGACGCCAGUAAAACAAAAAUGAUGUGAUAUUGGUUACCUGUGGGGUACUUCUUUUAAGUACACAGUCAGAUUGACCGAAUAAAUGUAACUUUUCAGAAGUAUUACAAAUGGGGUAAUGCCAGGAUUUACUCCUGGGACAAUGAUAUGUGAAUAAUAAGAGGUAUACACCAGACAAGCUAGGUACCCAUCACUGUUGGUUGGCACAGAGGGAUGUGACACUGUGAGAAACAAGGUAUCAUUUCCUUAUUUUCCCCCAAUGUAACAAAUCGAAAGCUGAAGUCCAUGCAGAAUUUUCAGUACCCAAUGUUCCUGUGGUUACGUCUACUCUAUAAAAAGAUCCAAACGUAUGCAUUUAAAACCUUCCUUUCAGCAUUCUCUAGAAUUAACACAGUAAAUACUGCAAAAUGUUAAGCAAAGCUGUUAACUGAAUGUACACCAAGGUGUGUAAACAGGCAAAUGCAGAGUGAGUGACAUUUGGCAUGAAAAUGAAACAACGCCAGAGGGAAAGGGGGCCCUAGGCUUUGAGGCAUCAUACAGAUGGAUACAAGUCCAACAGGGUCACAAGACCACUGUAUAGGACACAUACCAUCUUUCGAUGUCAAAUAAAAGCUUAUUCAAUAACCCGUCUCUUUAAUCUCCAAUUACAAUUCUAAGAUAUGCAAGAGAACAUAAUAGUAUAUCUACGAGAAGGAUCAUUUGAAAGGGUUAUAAAGUAACAAGAAAAAUCUACUUAGAAGUUGUGUCGCUGAAAAACUGGGUCGCUGAUCAUAAUUUCAAUCAUUGAUGAAUAGCAGAGGCACUACAUACACAAACGUACACCUUUGUCAUUGGGGGAAACAUUUCAGGAAAAUUGGUUUAGGAGUGAUAUUUCCUCGCUCAACGGAAUAGAACUCACCAUACUACACAAAUAUAACAACUAUGAAACAGAAAUGAAUAACUACAUCAUUUGCAUUAAGUUUUUUUCUCCAUAUAAUUUCAUUAUAUAUAGAUUUAUAUUCCUCACAUGCCUGACAAUUGUGUACAUGUGUGUGGUUUAGUCUUUUAAGUUGUGUGUUUUCUUUUGCACUGAAACAUCCUUAGUACGGCUGUAAGAAAAUAUGUGCCCUCCUGGUGAGAAAGGACUUUGACCCGAGCCAAAAAGAAAAUGUGUGUGAUGGAUGCUCAGCAGUGGAAGUCACUGAUGAACUAUGGUGGGGUGGAGCCUCUGUUAGACAAGGGUCUGUAUCUCCCCACUAUCGUAUGGUCUUAUUGGGCAAGAGUUGCUGUGAGAGCAGGACUGACUGCACAAGAAGACCAAAAGAGAGAUGCUGUAGAACAGGGGUGUUCAAAUUUUACCCAACGAGGUCCGGACUACUGCUGGCUUUCUGUUCUACCUGAUUAUUAAUUGCACCCACCUGGUGUCCCAGGUUAAAAAUCAGUCCACGAUUAGAGGGGAAGAAAAACAAAAAAAAGCAGUAGAACUGGCUUUGAGGUCCAGAUUUGAAUUUGAGGGCUGUAGAAUAUUCCUGUGACUUACUUCUCUGUCCUUAGCCCCACCUCUCGGCUUUCAGCCUCCCAAGCAACUAUGAACUGCCUUAGCGCUCCAGCUGUGGAGAUGUAAGGACUAGGAGUGGAGGUCAAAGGGUGAGCUAUGUUGCUUAUAGCAUCCUCUCACCCCAUAGGUGAAUCUUCAGGGUUGUAGAAGGGGGCAGGUCACAGUCAGUAGAUUUUUCCGCUUUCUUUUUUUGUCCUUUGAAAGUCCUGAGGAGAUUUCCACCGAGUCAACAAAGCCAGACAGAAAAGGAAACGGCUCCCCAUUAGCUGUGUGAUCACCUGAAUGAGGACAGUGACAAUGAUUUAUCUCUGUGUGGAUGUAGAUGGGGGCUAUGAUCAGGGGCAAAACCGGAAUCUUCAAAAUCAAACUUAUGACAAAAGGUAUUACAGUUAAUAAUAAAUACUCUAUUGUCAUCUCUUCAGAAUCCCUCAAAAUGUUCACACAAAUAUAACUGAGAAUAAGAAAUGGCAAUGGGGUUAUGUUGUAGCACUGUAGGCGAGGAGGAUGGGAACCCCCUCCACUGUGGAAAGGCACACCCAGAGGAGGGGGAGGUGAAAGGGGGAGUGGGGCUGGUGGUGGAAGGGGUAAAGAUAUGAACCAUGGCUGAGGUGGUGCAGGAGACGUCAAGAAAUGUCACAUGAGCUGAGAAGGGUGA